RNAcentral lists this non-coding RNA (162 nucleotides) under uncultured Metasolibacillus sp. The record is from RNAcentral. Lineage: Bacteria; Bacillati; Bacillota; Bacilli; Caryophanales; Caryophanaceae.
GUAAGAUUUGGUGCCAAGCGAAAGCUUGACUUAAAAGGGAAGUCGGUGUGAAUCCGACGCUGUCCCGCAACUGUAAAUCGGAGCAAAUCACAAAUGCCACUGGUGAGAAACUGGGAAGGCUGUGAGGAGCGAUGAUGAUAAGCCAGGAGACCUGCCAACAUC